Oncorhynchus keta (chum salmon) is the source of this 1753-nucleotide non-coding RNA. The record is from the annotation of a RefSeq genome assembly. NCBI's taxonomy places the organism in Eukaryota, Metazoa, Chordata, Actinopteri, Salmoniformes, Salmonidae.
GGAGAGGCCGUACAUAAACCUCCCUCAGUCAGACUGUACAGUGACUGUACUGCUACAGCUGGGACCUACUGCAGGUGCUGAGGGGAGGAGAGGAUCCAGUAUAACGACACAGGGUGUAGUAGAGCUGAACAACAUGAGAGUCAAACUAGAGCUAGAAGACCAUUACUGAUCACUAAAUGUUUCUCCUCACCAUUAACUACAUGUUGACUCUGUUGAGUAAUUCAAGGAAAACCAUCAACCAAUCUGAAUAGAGAUAUUGUGCAAUGAUCAAAACCCCUAAAGAUGACUUGUGUUUUGAAUAGCAAAAUGAUUCAAACACAUACAAUAAAGCCCCUAAACAUUACCCAUACAUCCUCCCUCACACCACUGUGGUAGUUCCAGAGAGCAGCAGGUGAAGCAGGAGACUGGAGAUGUCAGAGCUCUGGAGAUCUCCCUUUCAGAUCAAUCAGUCAGCAGCACUACAGUCCACACAGACUGCAGUUACUGAGCCUGACCACUCGGGAGAGAAUGAGAGCAGAUACUGUCUGAUCUAAUAACACAUUAAUAACAAUAUGCUCCAUUUGUAGAUGUCUACAAUCAAUACAUCAGUCCCCAUUCAGCAGGUACUGUAUAUCAGAAACCCUGUCAGUGAUUACAUAGCUAUCAUGUUUCUACAUCACAUCACACAACAUUUAUUAAUAAAAUCUGGAAGACUAUUUAAGUGAAAAAGCCAGAGGAGGUGUUGUAUAUGGCCAAUAUACCAUGGUUAAAGGCUGUUCUUAAGCACGACUCAACGCGGAGUGUCUGGACACAGACCUUAGCCUGGCAUAUUUGCCAUAUAUCACAAACCCCUGAGGUGCUUUAUUUAUGUUAUAAAAUGGUUACCAAAAUAAUUAGAGCAGUAAAAAUAAAAGUUGUUUUCAUACCCAUGGUAUACGGUCUCAUAGACCACGGCUGCCAGCCAAUCAUCGCUGAGCGCUCGAACACCCCAGUUUAUAAUUACAUAUAAGACACUUUGAUUUGAGAUAACAUAACAUGAUUAUAACCCACUUAAACAAUCUAAGGUUCUGUCAAGUUAUAACCUCUCUCCUGCCACACCCGGCUAGAACCUUCCAGAACCUUCCCAGCCUAUGAUUGAGCCCAGAUGAGGCUUGUUUACCAAUCAAGGCCAUGACUGGCUGGACAAUGAGCCUCAACCAUUAAAAUGCUGCUGUUCACACAGAACCCUUCAACUACAGUAUCCAUGUGGCAUCAAAAAGUAUAUUUGCAUAGUAAGGACACUUUGCAUAGACAGCACAUGCUUCAGCGCUCUAAGAGUGUUUAUAGCCCUGUGUGUUUUACAUUUCAUGUCUGAGAACUGUCCUUGAUGAUAACAGAACCCACAACAACCAUGACUUUUAACACCUUCUUCAUCUGGAUAUUUGCCCUGUGUCUCCAAGAGACCAGAGGGCAGUACACUGUGUCUCAGACUCCUGCAGUGGAAACUGUUUCAGUGGGUCACUCAGUCAGUCUCAGCUGUAAGACCAGCAGUGCUGUAUACAGUGACUUCUUUGGACAGAGGUUGGCCUGGUACCAACAGAAACCUGGAGGAGCUCCUAAACUCCUAAUAUACUUAGCUAAAACCCUUCAGUCUGGGACUCCAUCUAGAUUCAGUGGUAGUGGAUCUGGGAGUGACUUCACUCUGACCAUCAGUGGAGUCCAGGCUGAAGAUGCAGGAGAUUACUACUGUCAGAGUUUACACUACCCCAACAGUGUCUGGGUGUUCACACAGUGA